UGGUACCCAAAACCAGGUCUGAGGCACAGUCAGUGAAUACCUGUUUAAUGAAUGCAUGCAUAAAUGAAUGAAUGGAUGAUCCAGCUCUUCCUGGAGCAGGCACGACUUCCACAGAAACAGAGCAAACGCUAGCCGUAAGCAGAAAGAACGUUAUAGCUCCAGCGCUGAAUGAGACAUCUUUGAUUCUGUGGUGAUGCGGACUUUGUGCCUCUCUGUGAGGAAUCACUUUGUUCCAAUGACGCAAUUUUCCUCACACUCCGGAAGUGUCCUGCACUGCCAGAAUCGCCCAGCUUCCCGGCACACCUAUCAACCAGUCGUUCCCAGCACUGCCCAGUAUGCAGCCUCCAGGCAGAGGGCCUGGAUGUCUUGGCAGCCCACCCCAAAGCCCAAACUCCUGCCCGCAUGCUGGGAAGGUGAGCCCUUGCCUGGAGAGCCCAGCAGGGGAAAUAGAAGGAGGGAAGGAGGCCUGCUCCUUCCCCGGAGCUCUGCUCUGCGGCUGCAGGAAGACCCGCAGAGGCCCUGGGCAGCAGAACUGUGGACAGCAAGGCUGGAGUUGUGAAACCCAACCACUCAGCUGGAUUCCAGAAGCUCAGGUGGUGGUGACUAAACCUGGCCUUACUUAAAAUGCAUGACUUUAUUGUCUUUCAAUGUAUUUUCAGUAAACUUCAUCCUCUCCAUUACUAUUUUCUUUUCUUCGGAAACAAGCAACAGAUCUUUGUAAAAAAAAUACGUGAUGCCACGCACUUAGGAAUCACCCUCAUGUGGAGAUGAGAUUUCUUUUUUAUUUUUUUUUUCUGAGAGUCUCACUCUGUUGCCCAGGCUGGAGUGCAGUGACGUGAUCUCGUCUCACUGCAACCUCUGCCUCCCAGGCUCAAGCGAUUCUCAUGCCUCGGCCUCCUGAGUAGCUGGGAUUACGGGCAUGUACCACCGUGCCCAGCUAAUUUUUGCAUUUUUAGUAGAGAUGGGGUUUCGCCAUGUUGGCUAGGCUGAUCUCAAACUCCUGACCUCAAGUGAUCCACCCACCUCGGCCUCCCAAAGUGCUGGGAUGACAGGCGUGAGCCACUGUGCCUGGCCAGAGAUGAGACUUCUAUGUGUGGUGCUAAAAGAGUGAAUAAAAACAUUAGAUACUACACU
RNAcentral lists this long non-coding RNA (1134 nucleotides) under Homo sapiens (human). RNAcentral's name for it is "HSALNT0300461". Lineage: Eukaryota; Metazoa; Chordata; Mammalia; Primates; Hominidae. The record is from RNAcentral.